RNAcentral lists this ribosomal RNA (537 nucleotides) under Bombus hypocrita. RNAcentral describes it as "partial 16S ribosomal RNA". The stretch from base 385 to 537 matches the Rfam family "Bacterial large subunit ribosomal RNA", at positions 2473 to 2626 of the family's 2925-position model. Lineage: Eukaryota; Metazoa; Arthropoda; Insecta; Hymenoptera; Apidae. The record is from RNAcentral.
GGCUUAUUGAGUAAUAAUUUUAAGUCAAUUCUGCCCAAUGAUUAUUAAAAAUUUAAUGGCUGCAGUAUAAUUGACUGUACAAAGGUAGCAUAAUCAAUUGUUUUUUAAUUGAGAACUAGAAUGAAAGAGUUAAUGAGAUAUAUACUGUCUCAUAUAUAUAUAAUUAAUUUAAAUUUUUAGUUAAAAUGCUAAAAUUAGUUUAUGGGACGAUAAGACCCUAUAGAAUUUGAUAUUAAUAUAUUGAUUAUAAUUUAAUUAUUAAAUAUUAAUAUUUUGUUGGGAGGAUAAGUAAAUUUAUUAAACUUUAUUUAAAAUAUUAACUUUAAUUAAAGAAUAAAUAUUUUUGAUCUUUUAAUAAAAAUUUAGAGAAUAAAUUACCUUAGGGAUAACAGCGUAAUAUCUUUUUAAAGAUCAUAUUGAAAAAGGUGAUUGCGACCUCGAUGUUGAAUUAAGAUAAAUUUUAAAUGAAGAAAUUUAAUAAUUAAGUCUGUUCGACUUUUAAAAUCUUACAUGAUUUGAGUUCAAAUCGACGUGAGU